ACGGGAGGCAGCAGCUAAGAAUAUUCCGCAAUGGACGAAAGUCUGACGGAGCGACGCCGCGUGGAUGAUGAAGGCCGGAAGGUUGUAAAAUCCUUUUGAAUGAGACGAAUAAGCAGGUCAGGGAAUGGGCUUGUGGUGACGGUAUCAUUUGAAUAAGCAACGGCUAAUUACGUGCCAGCAGCCGCGGUAACACGUAAGUUGCGAGCGUUGUUCGGAAUUAUUGGGCGUAAAGGGCAUGUAGGCGGUUUUGCAAGCUUGGUGUGAAAUCCCGGAGCUUAACUCCGGAAUUGCGUUGAGAACUGCAUAACUAGAGUCACUGAGGGGCAAUCAGAAUUCCAGGUGUAGGGGUGAAAUCUGUAGAUAUCUGGAAGAAUACCAAUGGCGAAGGCAGGUUACCAGCAGAUGACUGACGCUGAGGUGCGAAGGUGCGGGGAGCAAACAGGAUUAGAUACCCUGGUA
RNAcentral lists this ribosomal RNA (459 nucleotides) under uncultured Treponema sp. RNAcentral describes it as "partial 16S ribosomal RNA". It matches the Rfam family "Bacterial small subunit ribosomal RNA", at positions 341 to 792 of the family's 1533-position model. Lineage: Bacteria; Pseudomonadati; Spirochaetota; Spirochaetia; Treponematales; Treponemataceae. The record is from RNAcentral.